RNAcentral lists this ribosomal RNA (483 nucleotides) under Enterococcus italicus. RNAcentral describes it as "bacterial SSU rRNA". It matches the Rfam family "Bacterial small subunit ribosomal RNA", at positions 28 to 486 of the family's 1533-position model. Lineage: Bacteria; Bacillati; Bacillota; Bacilli; Lactobacillales; Enterococcaceae. The record is from RNAcentral.
GACGAACGCUGGCGGCGUGCCUAAUACAUGCAAGUUGAACGCUUCUUUCUUAUCGAACUUCGGUUCACCAAGAAAGAGGAGUAGCGAACGGGUGAGUAACACGUGGGUAACCUGCCCAUCAGCGGGGGAUAACACUUGGAAACAGGUGCUAAUACCGCAUAAUGCUUUUUCUCACAUGAGAGAAAGCUGAAAGGCGCUUUUGCGUCACUGAUGGAUGGACCCGCGGUGCAUUAGCUAGUUGGUAGGGUAACGGCCUACCAAGGCAACGAUGCAUAGCCGACCUGAGAGGGUGAUCGGCCACACUGGGACUGAGACACGGCCCAGACUCCUACGGGAGGCAGCAGUAGGGAAUCUUCGGCAAUGGACGAAAGUCUGACCGAGCAACGCCGCGUGAGUGAAGAAGGUUUUCGGAUCGUAAAACUCUGUUGUUAGAGAAGAACAAGGAUGAGAAGAGAAUGUUCAUCCCUUGACGUAUCUAACCAG